AAAAUCCGUCGACUUUAGAAAUCGUGAGGGUUCAAGUCCCUCUAUCCCCCCAAAAAGACCGAUUUGACUAUUUCUCCUACCCUCUCUUUUUUUUAGUGGUUCAAAAUUCGUUCUCUUUCUCAUUCAUUCUACCUUUUUACAAACGUAUCAGAGCAGAAUUUUUUUUUUAUCACAAUCACAAGUGGUGUGGUAUAUAUGAUAUACGUACAAAUGAACAUCUUUGAACAAAGAAUCCCGAUUCACAAUUCAUAUCAUUGCUCAUACUGAAACUUAUAAAUUAUUCUAUUCAAGAAAUCGAAUUCCACGCUCAAGACUUUUAAUACUUUUUUAAUUGACAUAGACCCCAGUCAUCUAGUAAAAUGAGGAUGAUGCGCCGGUAAUGGUCGGGAUAGCUCAGCUGGUAGAGCAGAGGACUGAAAAUCCUCGUGUCAC
RNAcentral lists this transfer RNA (432 nucleotides) under Acer miyabei. RNAcentral's name for it is "partial transfer RNA-Leu". The stretch from base 383 to 432 matches the Rfam family "tRNA", at positions 1 to 48 of the family's 71-position model. Lineage: Eukaryota; Viridiplantae; Streptophyta; Magnoliopsida; Sapindales; Sapindaceae. RNAcentral also lists the same sequence under 1 other name. The record is from RNAcentral.